Molecule: long non-coding RNA, 442 nt
Filed under: Homo sapiens (human)
Lineage: Eukaryota; Metazoa; Chordata; Mammalia; Primates; Hominidae
Description: HSALNT0373977
Source: RNAcentral
GAGGGUGCCUGAGGGGGAUGUGCUAAAGCCAAAGCACAUUUGCCCCCUCCCAGCGGGUAGGGGAGUGGUGGAGGCGGAGCACAGAGGUGUGGCCUGUCAGAGAAGGCGUUGUUACGACAGCACAGAGAGUACGGCCCUAGGAGCAGGACCCUGCACACAGCUGAGCUCAGAGGCUCCAGUCUGGCCACGAGAAUGCAAUGGGAGGUAUUCUUCAUUGAUCUUACUCGAAGUUGAGAACAUGUAUUUUGACUCUGAGAAAUGUUUGGAGGUCAACUGCAGUGAGGUCUCUAUACCACAGAGUGGUGAGUCCCCAAGUCCCGGUGAACUUAGGAAAUGGGCAUUAUCCUCUGGAAGACGUUUAUAGAGGUGACUUUUUUGAUAGAAAAUUGGAUGUCUGCCUGGCAAAUUGGAUAAAGGGUCAAGACCCAUCAGUGUGCUGUAU